UACGGGGGGGGCAAGCGUUGUUCGGAAUUACUGGGCGUAAAGGGCUCGUAGGCGGCCAACUAAGUCAGACGUGAAAUCCCUCGGCUUAACCGGGGAACUGCGUCUGAUACUGGAUGGCUUGAGUUCGGGAGAGGGAUGCGGAAUUCCAGGUGUAGCGGUGAAAUGCGUAGAUAUUCGGAAGAACACCAGUGGCGAAGGCGGCUCACUGGACUGGUAUUGACGCUGAGGUGCGAAAGCGUGGGGAGCAAACAGG
RNAcentral lists this ribosomal RNA (253 nucleotides) under uncultured bacterium. RNAcentral's name for it is "partial 16S ribosomal RNA". It matches the Rfam family "Bacterial small subunit ribosomal RNA", at positions 524 to 776 of the family's 1533-position model. The record is from RNAcentral.